This 1475-nucleotide long non-coding RNA is filed under the name Marmota monax (woodchuck). Lineage: Eukaryota; Metazoa; Chordata; Mammalia; Rodentia; Sciuridae. The record is from RNAcentral.
UACAAUGUGGGGUUUUUUUUGUUUUUUAACCAAAUUCUAUACAAAAAGAAUUUGGAGCUGGGUGGGAAUGUAGCUCAGUAGCAGAGCACUUAUCUAUGAUUUGCAAGACUCUAGGUUUAAUCCCAGCACAACAAAACAAAUAACAAAAGGCAGUAACAAAAAAUUUUUGGUGUUUUUACCUUGCUUUCAUGUAAGAAAGAGUGAAGGUAUACUUUGAGGCACACAAGAAUAUAUAAUCUUAAAACCUUUUGUAUUAUGUAACAGAAAUAGUGGACUUAAUAACUUAAAAGUUUAAUUUUUUAUUAAAUGUUUUCCUAAAAUUAUAGUGAUAAUAAUAUACAAGGUUAAAACUUUAAAAGAGGGGUGGCAACCCUCAGUAUAAGUCAAUAGCAUAUAUGUUAACUUUCUUUUAGAUACAUAUCUUUGUUGCCUAAAAGAAUGUGGUUUUGGUGUAUGCAUUAAUGGUAAAUGGUCUAGAAGUUUUAAGUUUCCAUUGGGGCCCUUAAUUUACUUUGUUCAUCUGCAAUUAUCUAUUUUCUGGAGUCUCUGAAGGACCUCAUGUUGGAAUUAGGCCAUAUAGUAAGCCAUUCAUAGACAUUUCUAUACUGUACUUUGAAAAUUAAUUGAAAAGAGAAGAAUGUGUAAAGAGAAGAUAACAGUAAAAUAAGGGCUUGAUUUCUUAGCACUCACCACUUCCACUUCACUCCCAGUUACCUUCAGUUGGCUGGAACAACUCAUGCAGAAAAAUAGAAGUGCAGAAAAGUCAUCAGUGACAAAAAUAUUUGAGCAGAAUCAAAAGACAAUGAAGGUUAUAGAACACAGGAUGUGACUUAUCAUUUUUGAAAGCAGAAGGAAAAUCAUGUCUUCUCUGACUACUGAACAGGUGAUGAAGAAUAACCCUCACUGAUAUCAAGGGCACGAAAGGAUAGGAGUGGAAGAAACGGAAGGAGAGAAAGAGGAAAAUAAAGCAGAAACAGUGGCAGUGAGCAGAAGGAUGCUCUUUAGGUAACAGGAGAAUCACUGAGAAGGGAGAGAGAACAAAUAACUUACAGCAUAUCAAUAUUUGAGGACAUGAAGAGUCAUCUUCAUGUCAAUGUUUCGGUUGUAUUUUGUAGAAUGUUUACAGCAAUGUGUGUGAUACUUCAGAAUGAUUUUCAUCAAAACCAGUUCUCUUCAAGAAGCUGUCGUAGAAAAAAGUUUUCACUGACUUACAUAGCUUCCUAAAUGGACAUCCCCAAUAGCCCAGAUCAGUUAAGUAUGUUUUUAAUGUAUUAGUUAGGCUUUGUGUUUAGUCAGUCCAGAUAUUUCUGGGACCAGUUCUGGAUAAUAUAAAAUACUAUGAAAGGACCACAUACUUCAGUGGAAAAAUCAGAACUCUGGAGCCAUCACUCUGGGAUGUUUCACUGAAUCUUUUUUUGUUUCCCUUUAGUGGGAGUAGUGUCAUUUACUGUUGUAAUACUUUAGUGGGAGUAGUG